AAGUCGUAACAAGGUUUCCGUAGGUGAACCUGCGGAAGGAUCAUUAUUGAAUUCACUGGUCGGGUUGUUGCUGGUUCCGAAAGGUUCAUGUGCACACCUGGCUUUUGACUCCUUUCCACCUGUGCACUUUUGUAGUCAGGCUUUAACUGCCAGCCAGUGUCUAAGUAUGCCUUUGCUUGCAGAGGAUUUGGGGUUUGGAUCCUUUUGGGUCCUUUCUCUGAGGCGCUUGGAGGGCUCGGCUUGACUACGUUUUCAUUUACACUAUUGUAUGUUCAGAAAGUCAUGUUUACUGGUCUUUAGACCUUUAAUCUUACACAACUAUUGGCAACGGAUCUCUUGGCUCAC
RNAcentral lists this unclassified non-coding RNA (345 nucleotides) under air metagenome. RNAcentral's name for it is "partial contains small subunit ribosomal RNA and internal transcribed spacer 1". The stretch from base 1 to 46 matches the Rfam family "Eukaryotic small subunit ribosomal RNA", at positions 1786 to 1831 of the family's 1831-position model. The record is from RNAcentral.